UUCCACUGCAAGGAUUUCGUCAACGAAUGUUAUCAUAGGUUACGCGCGACUCCAGAGGCAAUUUGGAAUAUCGGCACGAAAUCGUCGGAUGAAAAUCUGAGGUGCCCGACGCACAACAUUUUGAACGUGCCACGGAGGAUCAAGGCAAAAAACGAGAGCAAAAAAGGUGCACGCUGAAGGCGGAAAUGAAGCAUGAUCUGGCUUGCAUCUGGUGCAUGAAGAAAUUGCUGGCACGUUAGUUGCAGUCUACCUCCACCAACAGGGUGGAAAACAAAGGUCGCCAU
This is a long non-coding RNA of Ornithodoros turicata, 284 nucleotides long. RefSeq lists it as uncharacterized. The record is from RefSeq and is a predicted model, not a curated record. The transcript is spliced from 3 exons. Lineage: Eukaryota; Metazoa; Arthropoda; Arachnida; Ixodida; Argasidae.